UGUCGUCAGCUCGUGUUGUGAAAUGUUGGGUUAAGUCCCGCAACGAGCGCAACCCUUAUCCUUUGUUGCCAGCGGUCCGGCCGGGAACUCAAAGGAGACUGCCAGUGAUAAACUGGAGGAAGGUGGGGAUGACGUCAAGUCAUCAUGGCCCUUACGACCAGGGCUACACACGUGCUACAAUGGCGCAUACAAAGAGAAGCGACCUCGCGAGAGCAAGCGGACCUCAUAAAGUGCGUCGUAGUCCGGAUUGGAGUCUGCAACUCGACUCCAUGAAGUCGGAAUCGCUAGUAAUCGU
RNAcentral lists this ribosomal RNA (295 nucleotides) under Escherichia coli. RNAcentral describes it as "partial 16S ribosomal RNA". It matches the Rfam family "Bacterial small subunit ribosomal RNA", at positions 1050 to 1345 of the family's 1533-position model. Lineage: Bacteria; Pseudomonadati; Pseudomonadota; Gammaproteobacteria; Enterobacterales; Enterobacteriaceae. RNAcentral also lists the same sequence under 1 other name. The record is from RNAcentral.